AGUGAACGCUGGCGGUAGGCCUAACACAUGCAAGUCGAACGCCAGCACAGUAAGAGCUUGCUCUUACGGGUGGCGAGUGGCGGACGGGUGGGGAAUACAUCGGAAUCUACUUUUUCGUGGGGGAUAACGUAGGGAAACUUACGCUAAUACCGCAUACGACCUCCGGGUGAAAGCAGGAGAUCUUCGGACCUUGCGCGAUUGAAUGAGCCGAUGUCGGAUUAGCUAGUUGGCGGGGUAAAGGCCCACCAAGGCGACGAUCCGUAGCUGGUCUGAGAGGAUGAUCAGCCACACUGGAACUGAGACACGGUCCAGACUCCUACGGGAGGCAGCAGUGGGGAAUAUUGGACAAUGGGCGCAAGCCUGAUCCAGCCAUACCGCGUGGGUGAAGAAGGCCUUCGGGUUGUAAAGCCCUGUUGUUGGGAAAGAAAAGCAGCAGGUUAAUACCCCGCUGUUCUGACGGUACCCAAAGAAUAAGCACCGGCUAACUUCGUG
This 492-nucleotide ribosomal RNA is filed under the name uncultured bacterium. RNAcentral describes it as "partial 16S ribosomal RNA". It matches the Rfam family "Bacterial small subunit ribosomal RNA", at positions 29 to 507 of the family's 1533-position model. The record is from RNAcentral.